Long non-coding RNA from Felis catus (domestic cat), 1011 nucleotides. RefSeq lists it as uncharacterized. Lineage: Eukaryota; Metazoa; Chordata; Mammalia; Carnivora; Felidae. The transcript is spliced from 4 exons. The record is from RefSeq and is a predicted model, not a curated record.
CGCGUGCCCUUGGUUGGCUUGCUGGCUGGGACUGCGCAUGCGCACUGCCUGGGCAGGCGUAUAACGACUCUCGCAUGCGCAUAACGACUCUCACCGAGUUGAAUUCGCAGGCGAGCAGGGCUGGAUCGGGUGCGGUGCCACCUCGGGAGGCAAAGUGAUGGGCCCGGAUAACUAGGUCCCAUACCAUCUUUGGGACAUACUCUUACUAAAAGUUUUCCGACAUCCAGUAUUUCAUCUAGCAAUCCUCACAUUGGACCACACCCUUGCCUGGCAGAUUGGAGAUUGGAAUGAGCUUGUAAGAGAACCCUCAGCUCCAGGAGAGAGUGCAGCUGGCCAACACCUUCCCUGCAGCCUGAGCGAAGGACCAGCCACGCUGUGCCGCACUUCCAAGCCACACAACCGUGAGCUCGUAAAAAGGUGUUGUUUUAAGCUCCUGAAUUUGAGUCGUUCGUCACGUGGCACAGAAAACGGAUACAGAGGUCGCGUAACUACCACCGGGUGAAGCCCGGGAGGUAACAGGCCAGACCCUGCAGGGCCAUCGGCCGCGGGAAGGACUUUGCAUUUGUGCUGAGGGACCCAGAAAACCACGCCAAGUGUGUUUGCGGAUCGCCCGGGGCACUGUUGACUGUGAGUGACGGGAAAUCUCACAAAUUACUUAACUCCCAAAUCCAGGACUUCAGGAAUGGCUGGAUCCAGGAGCUCAAGGAUUACUUUCAGAAGUCUGCGUCUUUCCCUCCCUCUACCUUGCUGUCUUCUGCCUUGUCUUCUGCCUCACCUUCGUUCUCUGGCAGGUCCUCCCCACAUGGUGGCUGAGAUGACCACCAGCAGUUGGGAGUCGCAGCCUGUCACCUUAACAAUCCGGUCAGAGACCCCACCUUUCCACAUGGCUCCCCUAAGAGUCCUGGGAUGACCCGGAAAGGCUCAGCUUGGGUCACAUGACCGAUGCAGAACCAAUCACAAAGGGCGGGGGAAGGGGCACUGCAGAGGGGAGGCCUCAGCCCCAUACCUGUU